Molecule: ribosomal RNA, 253 nt
Filed under: uncultured bacterium
Lineage: Bacteria
Description: partial 16S ribosomal RNA
Rfam family: Bacterial small subunit ribosomal RNA
Source: RNAcentral
UACGUAGGGGGCUAGCGUUGUCCGGAAUCAUUGGGCGUAAAGAGCGUGUAGGCGGCCCGGUAAGUCCGCUGUAAAAGCCAAAGGCUCAACCUUUGAAUGUCAGUGGAUACUGCCGGGCUAGAGUCCGGAAGAGGCGAGUGGAACUCCUGGUGUAGCGGUGGAAUGCGCAGAUAUCAGGAAGAACACCAACGGCGAAGGCAGCUCGCUGGGACGGUACUGACGCUGAGACGCGAAAGCGUGGGGAGCGAACAGG